This 777-nucleotide ribosomal RNA is filed under the name Alteromonadales bacterium. RNAcentral describes it as "bacterial SSU rRNA". It matches the Rfam family "Bacterial small subunit ribosomal RNA", at positions 1 to 721 of the family's 1533-position model. The record is from RNAcentral. Lineage: Bacteria; Pseudomonadati; Pseudomonadota; Gammaproteobacteria; Alteromonadales.
GGAGCUCUCCCAUAUGGUCGACCUGCAGGCGGCCGCGAAUUCACUAGUGAUUGUUUGAUCCUGGCUCAGAUUGAACGCUGGCGGCAGGCUUAACACAUGCAAGUCGAACGGUAACAGAGAAUAGCUUGCUAUUUUGCUGACGAGUGGCGGACGGGUGAGUAAUGCUUGGGAAUUUGCCGAAAGGUGGGGGACAACAGUUGGAAACGACUGCUAAUACCGCAUAAUGUCUACGGACCAAAGGUGGCCUCUAUUUAUAUGCUAUCGCCUUUCGAUGAGCCCAAGUGGGAUUAGCUAGUUGGUAAGGUAAUGGCUUACCAAGGCGACGAUCCCUAGCUGGUCUUAGAGGAUGACCAGCCACACUGGAACUGAGACACGGUCCAGACUCCUACGGGAGGCAGCAGUGGGGAAUAUUGCACAAUGGGGGAAACCCUGAUGCAGCCAUGCCGCGUGUGUGAAGAAGGCUUUCGGGUUGUAAAGCACUUUCAGCGAGGAGGAAAGGGUGAUGGCUAAUAUCCAUCAUCUGUGACGUUACUCGCAGAAGAAGCACCGGCUAACUCCGUGCCAGCAGCCGCGGUAAUACGGAGGGUGCAAGCGUUAAUCGGAAUUACUGGGCGUAAAGCGCGCGUAGGUGGUUAAUUAAGUCAGAUGUGAAAGCCCAGGGCUCAACCUUGGAACUGCAUUUGAAACUGGUUGACUAGAGUUUUGUAGAGGGUGGUAGGAAUUUCAGGUGUAGCGGGUGAAAUGCGUAGAGAUCUGAAGGAAUACCAGUGGCGAAGG